UACGAAGGGGGCUAGCGUUGCUCGGAAUUACUGGGCGUAAAGCGCACGUAGGCGGGUCAUUAAGUCGGGGGUGAAAUCCUGGAGCUCAACUCCAGAACUGCCUCCGAAACUGAUGAUCUUGAGUUCGGGAGAGGUGAGUGGAACUGCGAGUGUAGAGGUGAAAUUCGUAGAUAUUCGCAAGAACACCAGUGGCGAAGGCGGCUCACUGGCCCGAUACUGACGCUGAGGCACGAAAGCGUGGGGAGCAAACAGG
This 253-nucleotide ribosomal RNA is filed under the name uncultured bacterium. RNAcentral describes it as "partial 16S ribosomal RNA". It matches the Rfam family "Bacterial small subunit ribosomal RNA", at positions 524 to 776 of the family's 1533-position model. The record is from RNAcentral.